Molecule: long non-coding RNA, 1047 nt
Organism: Lactuca sativa (garden lettuce)
Lineage: Eukaryota; Viridiplantae; Streptophyta; Magnoliopsida; Asterales; Asteraceae
Source: RefSeq, a predicted model, not a curated record
UUGACUUUGGGAUUGGGGGCUGUAAUCGAAUUUGACUGGAUUUCAUUUUUUAGUCUAUUCAAGAGAAUUCGUUUUUGGAUUGUUACUCGUUCCAUUGAUUACAGAAAGAGAUUUUGAUUGUUAUAGAAGGUUUGACUGAGGAUGAUUGAAACUCGUUUCGAUUUAGACUUACUUUGAAUCGAACGGAAUAUAUCUUGGGAUCGAAUGUUUUGGAAGUUAAGUCGACAUUGUAAGCAUUUGGUGUCGAUUUCAAUCUCGAUUGAUGUUGAUAUACCUCUUCAAUUUCAAAUUUUUAUGUUGAUUUCAACUAAUUUCAAUUUUGAUCGAAUGUUCUUGGAGUCAAAGUCAAAUCUGUUUGUAUGGAGAAGUCAAUCGAUGGUGAUGUUAGUUUGAUUUUGACUGGUGAUUAUUCAUUUCAUUUCCAGAAAAGAAUUAGAGUUUUGAGGAAUGGAUUUCGAUUUGUAUAUUUGUAAGUCGAACAAAGAAAAUCUUGGGGUUGAAUGUGUUUUUAGAUUUAACAAGUCGAACAAGCAUGGCUUUGGAUCGAAAUCAAAUUUAACUAUAUGUUCUGUUUGCGUCCUGGUACUCAGUUGAUUGGAGUUUGAGUCGAUGAAGGAUCGAAUAGUCUUGGAGUGAAAGUCGAUUUCCAUUGGGAAUUGAGCCGUUCGAGUAGAGAUGAGUCGAUUUCGAUGUGUAAAUUGUUGGUCGAAUUUGACUGUUGCUACUACUCAUUCGCAUCUACAAAUUGAUUUGGAGUCGAUUGUCUUGAGGUUAGAAUCAAUUUCACAUCUGGGAAUAGUUAACUUCGAAAGCAUGUUUGAUUGUUGUUUCUUGGAGUCGAAAUUGCAUUUGACUGUAUCAACUGGUGUAACAUCAUGAUGUCAAGGUACUUCGGAUGACCGCGGGAAGGCGAAGGCGUAACUGUACACAUCCUCUUGUUAUGAUCUAUGAUUUUGGGAAAACUCUGAUGUUGGAAAUGUUUUGAAAAUUGUUUUGUAAACACUUUAUGGUUUUGGUUUAUAUUUAAAAAGUUUAAAUUUAUCAUGA